AGGAAGGGAGGGAGGGAGGGAGGGAGGAAGGAAGGAAGGAAGGAAGGAAGGAAGGAAGGAAGGAAGGAAGGAAGGAAGGAAAAGGGAGAGGAAGGCAACACUGAUGGGAGACAGUUCAGAACAGCCAAGGGCAUGUCACCUUCAAUGCUGAACAGCCUAGUUAACUUCUAUUGGUUCCCAUGUCUCAGCUCCCCGCCUAUGCAGUUGGAGUGGAUUCUGUCUUCUGCACUCAUGCUAUAUUGUUCUGUUUUUAAUACUGAUGCUACCAUAUCUAUCUAUCUAUCUAUCUAUCUAUCUAUCUAUCUAUCUAUCUAUCAUCCUCAUCAUCCUCAUCAUCCUCAUCAUCAUCAUCACAGUGACCAUUUCCAACUUUAGAAAACUCAGGCUCCAUGUCUCCCCCACUCCCACCAAUGCCUCCCAGUCCUGACUUUCACCAGCCUCACAUCCAGGGAAAGUUAAUCAUCUGUUGUAUAAUGCACCAGAAGCCAAGAAAGAAGAAAUGAUGAUUGAGACAGACGGAGCUGUUGGAACAGGAACUUUGCCCUGUCAGAGAAGAACUCUAAGUUUUAAUCAGUUAAGCUGGUAAAAUGCAAAGAUCGUGGCCUCCAGAGAUAGGAAAAUCUGGUUUCAAGCUUGAGCUGGGCAAGGUACUGUGAGUCCUGGGGUUUUUAUGUGUGGCAGAGCACUGCUGCUCAUCUCAGAGGAUGUGUGUGGAUCAAACACCACAGCUCUGCAAAAAGUUCCAGCCCAGGGCCUGGUACAUGAGGAACAACCAGGACAAGGUUUUUUUUUAUUGUUUGGUCAUUAAUAUUCAACAAGGCUCAUAGCUUCCCUUAGAGAGGCUAUCAUGGGGUAUGGCUCAAAGCAUCAAAACAAAUAUUUGAAACUUCUAACCAAGGCUGUUAAGAGUCCAGGCUACAUUGGAAGCCUGGAGUUGUGUGGGCAGCUGAGGAGAGAGUGGGAGAGGUAAGGAAAUGGAGGAAGCAGGAACCCAAUGAGAAAAACAGUUCACCAUGGCUGCCUGUUCAGGCUGGACUUUGACAAGAUGAGAACUACAGGCUCACUCUUCCACCAGGCCAGACACUGUGGGAGAUCAAGGAAGUCUCUUAAAACCCACAGCUGAGAGAGAAAUUCAGCUAGGUCUGUGGGAAUUUAAUCUCCAAACUGGAAUUGAGAGAUUGAAGAACAUCUUUGUUCUGCACAGUAUCAUGUGACCUCUGCAAAUCAAGACUCUCCACCAAGUUGAAUGAUGGAGUCACAGAAUUCCUGGGAGAGAUGACCCAAUUCCUUCCUUAUUUCUUUUCCCCAAUACUACUAUAUACACUCAAGCAAAACCUCAACUAAUGCCUCCUAAAGAGAUAGUAGUUGGCAAAGGAUUAGAAAUCAUGUGUGGGGGGGAAACAUCUACCAUUCCAGACCAAUUAAAACAGAAUUAGAAACUGCUUAAAACUCUGCCAUGAUUCUAAGUCAUGCUUUGGCCUAAGGCUUGAACCAGGAGUCACCACUGUGGGCUUUGGGCCAUGAACUUGGAACCAGAGCUCUUAGUUCUAAUUCUGAACUGACCACUUAAUAGCUAUUGGUGUUUUCAGGAGAAAUAAAAAGAAUGUGUCUGUAAACACGAACUCCAUCUUGUCAGACACAUGUGUUCUUAAGGGAUGUAUAUAACUUUGGAUAAGUUCCUCAAGACAUGAACUCUAUUAUAAAUGGGAACAACACAGUCCCCAUGACGUAGGCUGUUUUCAUGCUUUAAAAGAAACAUGUUAUGCACGACAUGAAUGAGAGUGACACGUCAGCCAUUGCCAUUAAACACAAUUCACUUGUUCCCCGACCAGAGCUGAGAAACCUUUACCCCGAUUUCAAUUCUUCAGGGGCUUUGGUCAGUGACUCUGAGUCUGUCAUCUUCCAGAGACCUUGCUGAAAAGAAGAGUCCCAAGCAUAGCCCAGAAUUUCAGUAACUUUGUGGUGGCACUGAAGCCUCUGGUGUUUUCAAACUCUCUGAAGGGCCUGGGGACCACACCCCUGGACCCUCCUCCUGAGACGGGACCUGAGUCUAUGGAAGACAGAACUAGGUUCCACUUAGACCACUAGUUCUGUAGUGACACUACUUCUCUAGAGAAAAAGGAAGAAAGCAACACACCUAAAUUUGCCUGAGAGCCACAGUCAAGGUGAGGCAACCAGGAAGUUGGUGAUUUACACAGCUGUUGCUUUUAUUUCCUCUUCCUCCCAUGUAGUAGUGCUGGAGUGAUCAUGGGCAUUUGAGGAUCCAACCAAGAAGCUUAGAUAGAUCCUUUAAGAACACAUGUGUCUGACAAGAUGAAGUUCAUGUUUACAGACACAGUUGGCGCCCAACGUGGGGCUAAAGAAAAAAAGGGCUAAAGAAAAAAAAAAAGAAAAAGAAAAAAGAGGGA
This is a non-coding RNA of Peromyscus maniculatus bairdii (prairie deer mouse), 2408 nucleotides long. Lineage: Eukaryota; Metazoa; Chordata; Mammalia; Rodentia; Cricetidae. The record is from RefSeq and is a predicted model, not a curated record.